This is an RNA transcript of Prunus persica (peach), 1120 nucleotides long. RefSeq lists it as uncharacterized. The transcript has 3 exons. The record is from RefSeq and is a predicted model, not a curated record. Lineage: Eukaryota; Viridiplantae; Streptophyta; Magnoliopsida; Rosales; Rosaceae.
UGGUGUGGGGAAGAGCUCUUUCAUUUUUCAUUGACCGCCAAAUAACUCCAGCCAAAACUCAAAUUUCCCCCUUCUUCACCAGCAAAAGUGAAAAAUGGGCAAUUUCAGAAACCUAGCAGCCGCCUCCAACACUCACUCUCCCUAUGCGUCUCUCUCUCAUCCCCCUCUCUCACUAAGUCAUUGUCUCUCCCUCUGCGUCUCUCUCUCAUCUCAUCCAUCUUCAUUUGCCUCUGACCGUCUCUGUCUCUCUCUCUCACGAUCUCACCCUCUCCGUCUCUCUCCCGAUCUCACCCUCUCCGUCUCUCUCACGAUCUCACCCUCUCUGUCUCUCUCCCGAUCUCACCCUCUCUGUCUCUCUGUCCUCUGUCUCAAUUAGUUAGAUUUCAGUCUCUUUUUCAUGUCUCUGUUUUAUUUUUUUUUUGGUAUAAAUUAUCAUAUGGGUUUUUGGUAUUUCGUAAAUGUCUUUCAAUUUUCAAGGCAUGUGGUCUUUUCUAUUGUUAAUUUGUCACUUUUUGUUUCAGAUUUCAUUUGGGUAGCAGAGAAAAUGCAUAUUUGUCAAUUGUGCAUUUUACUUGCGGUGAUUUGGUUGUACAGGUUCUGUCAUGAAGCAUCAACUAUGAUGAGGGACAUACCAAGCCUAUCCUUUCUGUGUGCUGGGAUCUAUCUGGUUAGAGCAUACUUACAGCGUCAAUGGAAGCAGAUUCUAUCUGGAAGGGUGUCUCUUCAGGAUUUUGUAUCUGCAAAGGAGGUUUGCCUAGGCACCUACCGUGCGUGUAUCUAUUUUUCUGUUCUUAUUUCAUUACUGUCUGUCAUGUAUUGUCUUCUUACUUGAUAUAUUUGAUUUUACACAUUGACUGAAACUUUGUUUUGGAAACAGAACUAGCUCUGUUCUUGUUUUGACAGGAUAAACAAACAAUGUUAUUGUUAAUGGGAAAUAGCAGCAGCCCAUCAUUAGCGAAGAUUCAAAGGAAGCUCUGAAGCAUGCAUUCGAACUCUUUAAUGUUCGAUUGGAAGUAGACUUUGGGACUAGUGAUAUAGGACAUAGCUUAGGAUUGUAAUGAAUAUUUGUAAUUUAUUACAUUUGUCUUUUAUUAAUGAUGAUAUACACUAUUCUUCGAAC